CCUACGGGUGGCAGCAGUGGGGGAUAUUGCACAAUGGGGGAAAGCCUGAUGCAGCGACGCCGCGUGAGUGAAGAAGUAGCUCGGUAUGUAAAGCUCCAUCAGCAGGGGAGAAAAUGACAGUACCUGACCAAGAAGCCCCGUCUAACUACGUGCCAGCAGCCGCGGUAAUACGUAGGGGGCAAGCGUUAUCCGGAUUUACUGGGUGUAAAGGGAGCGUAGACGGUGAUUUAAGUCAGGAGUGAAAGCCCGGGGCUCAACCGCGGGACUGCAAUGGAAACUGUGUAACUGGAGUGCAGGAGGGGAAGGCGGAAUUCCUGGUGUAGCGGUGAAAUGCGUAGAUAUCAGGAGGAACACCGGCGGCGAAGGCGACCUGCUGGACUGAAACUGACGUUGAGGCUCGAAAGUGUGGGGAGCAAACAGGAUUAGAUACCCGUGUAGUC
RNAcentral lists this ribosomal RNA (440 nucleotides) under uncultured bacterium. RNAcentral describes it as "partial 16S ribosomal RNA". It matches the Rfam family "Bacterial small subunit ribosomal RNA", at positions 338 to 795 of the family's 1533-position model. The record is from RNAcentral.